ACUCUUCCUUAUCCAAAUUUAAUUUGAGUAUUAAAUAAUUUUGUUCGUCUUUCGGUCUUGUAUUACGCUAUUCAAGAACCAUUGUCCAUUUGUAUUGCCCACUAACACUCUACUGUUAAUGCCAAUUUAGCAGCAGAGACUUAUCAGCUGAAUGUUCAUUUUCAUUGUUCAACGAAAAAAGAAAGAAAAAGCGAAUUCACAAGUCCUAAGCAGUAUAUUCAGUCCACCAUUUUCUCUCGAAAUUCCUGGUUUUUAGGCGGGAAAUUAAUAAAUGGGCGGCCGGCGCCGCAGCAGCAGCAGCUACAGCAGCUCAGUCGCCACGGUGGUCAGUACCGCUGAUUCUUCUCCCUCUUCCGCCGAGUCCUGCUUCCGCGAGCUUGACGAUGUCUUCU
RNAcentral lists this long non-coding RNA (392 nucleotides) under Coffea arabica (coffee). RNAcentral's name for it is "long non-coding RNA (CARA_LNC005324)". The record is from RNAcentral. Lineage: Eukaryota; Viridiplantae; Streptophyta; Magnoliopsida; Gentianales; Rubiaceae.